CGGACGGGUGAGUAAUGUCUGGGAAACUGCCCAAUGGAGGGGGAUAACUACUGGAAACGGUAGCUAAUACCGCAUAACGUCGCAAGACCAAAGAGGGGGACCUUCGGGCCUCUUGCCAUCGGAUGUGCCCAGAUGGGAUUAGCUAGUAGGUGGGGUAACGGCUCACCUAGGCGACGAUCCCUAGCUGGUCUGAGAGGAUGACCAGCCACACUGGAACUGAGACACGGUCCAG
Molecule: ribosomal RNA, 232 nt
Filed under: uncultured bacterium
Lineage: Bacteria
Description: partial 16S ribosomal RNA
Rfam family: Bacterial small subunit ribosomal RNA
Source: RNAcentral